Molecule: ribosomal RNA, 302 nt
Filed under: uncultured bacterium
Lineage: Bacteria
Description: partial 16S ribosomal RNA
Rfam family: Bacterial small subunit ribosomal RNA
Source: RNAcentral
GCAGUAGCCACGGUAAUACGUAGGUGGCAAGCGUUGUCCGGAAUUACUGGGCGUAAAGGGCUCGCAGGCGGUUUCUUAAGUCUGAUGUGAAAGCCCCCGGCUCAACCGGGGAGGGUCAUUGGAAACUGGGAAACUUGAGUGCAGAAGAGGAGAGUGGAGUUCCACGUGUAGCGGUGAAAUGCGUAGAGAUGUGGAGGAACACCAGUGGCGAAGGCGAUUCUCUGGUCUGUAACUGACGCUGAGGAGCGAAAGCGUGGGGAGCGAACAGGAUUAGAUACCCCUGUAGUCCCUGUCUCUUAUAC